GACAAACGCUGGCGGCAUGCCUAACACAUGCAAGUCGAACGGACAGAACAGGGAAGCUUUUCGGAGUGGAACUGGAAAGUUAGUGGCGGAUGGGUGAGUAACGCGUGGACAACCUACCUUGUAAAGGGGAAUAACCUCGAGAAAUCGAAGCUAAUACCCCAUAAUAACCUUGCUUCGCAUGAAGUAAGGAGGAAAGGCGGCCUUAGCGCUGUCGAUACAAGAUGGGUCUGCGUCUGAUUAGCUAGUUGGUGAGGUAAAGGCUCACCAAGGCGACGAUCAGUAGCCGGCCUGAGAGGGUGAACGGCCACAUUGGGACUGAGACACGGCCCAAACUCCUACGGGAGGCAGCAGUGGGGAAUCUUCCGCAAUGGGCGAAAGCCUGACGGAGCAAUGCCGCGUGAGUGAAGAAGGCCUUCGGGUUGUAAAACUCUGUCCUUAUCGAAGAGAGAGUGUUGUAGUAACUGACAAUACUAGGACGGUAGAUGAGGAGGAAGCCCCGGCUAACUAUGUG
Molecule: ribosomal RNA, 511 nt
Filed under: uncultured bacterium
Lineage: Bacteria
Description: partial 16S ribosomal RNA
Rfam family: Bacterial small subunit ribosomal RNA
Source: RNAcentral